CCCACUAAGCAAAGCCAGGGAUCAAACCCGCAUCCUCAUGGAUACGAGUCAGAUUCUUUUCCACGGAGCCACAACAUGAACUCCCCGGAUUUAAAAAGUUUAUCCAUCAAAAUAUUAACAGUGGUUAACCCUGGGCAACAAUAUUAUGAGUGAUAUUUCAUUUUCAUAAUUUCAUGUUUUCCAAAAUUUCAUUAAUUACAUAUAUUACUAUUUUAAACUAAACAAAAAAUUUUAAUAAGGACUAGGAACAAAUAUAUCAAAAUAUUAAAUGACCUUUUCCUCUUGGUGAUUAUAGAUGGUUUAUUUUCUGCUUCACUGGGAAGUACUACUUCCCAAUUUUUUAAUAACCUUUAUGUUUUUCAUUAUAAUUAGAAAAAGGAUUAAGCCUGAAGAAAAAGUACAUGAUUAAAGGGGUUUUGUUUUUAUUUUUAAGAAAGCCUAAAGAAAUAUAUGUACAUUUGACAUGUCUUGAUUUCAAGAUAAUUCUACCAGUUUUAAAGUGUAUUUUAGAGUUUAAGGAUUUUAAAAGUAUGUUUAAUAUUAAGUAUACUGUAAAGAAUUUUAAAAUUAAAUAGAAAAAAAUAAUUCCUCAUUCCAUAACAACAGAAUCUCAGGGCUAGAAAGAACCACAACCAUCAUUUAAUCCAAAUAUUUAUUCUUACAGAGAAGAAAUUGAUGCAUAAAAGGCAAGUAGCUUGGGUCUCAUGGCUAAUUAAUAUGCAGGAUCUAGGCUAUUAUCCUUAUUCUCCUGAACCCACACCUGAGGCAAUUUCUACUACAGGACAAUGCCUCUAAUAACUUUUUCUGUAAGCAUAGAAAAUGUUUAUCUUCUUGAACUAGAAACUUUAAAUUGAGAAAAUAUUUGAGAAUUGGAGGGAAAAAUUUUUUUCCAUCAAAGAGAAAUUAUAAAAUUAAAACUAAUACAUAACAAAUGUUAACAUUCUCAUAUGGAUCUAAGAAAAAAAAAUCUAGUUUUGAGUUUUUCACAUUUCUAUCUAAAAUCCCAAAAUAUACAGGAUUUUGUUACCAAUGUUUCUGAUGAUGAAUAAUAUAUAGAACACUUAAAUUUGCUGCUUUGGUUCUAUAAAAUAAGAACAAUUAAACAAACAAGAUUCUGAAGCCAGACUGCCUAUACUAAAAUCUUGACACUGCCAUUUUCUAGAUGUGUUACUCUGAGCAAAUUAGUUACCUUUUCUGAGCCAUCAGUUUCUCUAUUUACAGGUCAAGGAUAAAAACAACCCCUAACUCAUUAAAUGAGUUCAUAUACAUAAAGCACCAAGAGUACAUAGCAUAAACCCUGUAUAUUCAACUGUGUAUGUUUAACUGCUUUUAUUAUUAUAAGACAAUGUAAAGGUAUGCUAUGUUUAUAUUGCGUUAUCACCCUUCUAAUAAAGUGGGCAAUAUCAUCAUUUAAUACCCCUAUAGAUAACUAUAAAUUAAAUAAUGUCUAAAUCUCAAUGACUCCACAAAUAUCCUCAAGCAGCUUAGCCAAUAGAACAGCUAAUGAUAAAACUGGUUAAUGUUAACUGUCAAAGAUAUUCAAACUUUAUGCCAACCUCUUCAAGGUCGGGGGUAAUAUGGAGGAAACAGGGUACACAUAGAGAUGCUGGGUUCAGGAAAGCCAAGCAAAAUUAAACAGUCAUAGCUAAUACAGACAAGCAUGAGGCUAGGAAUCUAGACAGGUGAGACAAAGGUUGAAAAGCACCUAGAAGUUAUUGUGGUGAAGUCAAAAGAACAACAGGAUGUUGAGACACAAUGCCUGAAUUCUAAUCCUGGUUCAGAUAUCAACUAGGUAUAUUAUCUAACUAAACCCACUUUCUGGUUUUAUUUACCUCAGGUAAAACAACCUGCUUCUCAGGGUCAUUUAUGGUUCAAAGGUCAAAUGCAUUACCAAACUUUAAGAAAAAAAAUUUUAAAAUUUUUUUUUUUUUUUUUUUUUUUUUUUUGUCUCUUUAGGGCCACACCCAAUAGCAUAUGGAGGUCCCCAGGCUAGGGGUCAAAUCGGAGCUACAGCUGCCGGCCACAGCCACAGCCACAGCAGCACAGGAUCCAAGCCGCAUCUGCAACCUACACCACAGCUCACGGCAACACCGGAUCGUUAACCCACUGAGCAAGGGCAGGGAUUGAACCUGCAACCUCAUGGUUCCUAGUCGGAUUCGUUAACCACUGCGCCACGAUGGGAACUCCUAUUCUUUUUUUAAAUUUUUUAUUAUAGUUGAUUUACAAUGUUGUGUCAAUUCCUAUGCACAGCAAACUGACCCAGUCAUACAUUAUAUACACAUUCUUUUUCUCAUAUUAUCUUCCACCAUGUUCUAUAACUAGAGUUCGAAAUGGUUCCCUGUGCUAUGCAGUAGGAUAAAACUUUAUUCUUGCCAAAAAAGUUUUGGGAGUUUUUCUCCUUGCAAGAGAAGGUUGUCUAAAGUUUGUACUCUUUGUCAAGUCUGGCUCAUCUCACAUUCUGACAGAGGAAGCACUAUGAAAAAAAGAAAAAGAUAGCACUGAGUAUGAGGAAGUAGAUGAGUUUUAAUUUCAAGUACAAAGAAGAGAAGGACUCAUUAAGUAUGAAAAGAUUUGAAGAAGGUGAAGGAGCUAGCUAACCAUUUGGAUAUCUGGGGGGACUAUUUCAGAAAGCGGGACCAACCAGUGCAAAGUCCUAAGCCAGGAAUGUAUCUUGAAUAAUUCAGGGAAUGGAAAGGAUGCUUGCAGACUGGGGUAAACAAGUGAAAGAAUGGUAGAAAAGAAGUCAGAGAAAUAACAAUGAGGUCUUGUAGGCCAUCCAAAGGAACUUUAACUAUGAAGAUGGGGACCUUGGGCAGUCUUGAUACAGAAAAGAGACAUGAUCUGACUUACCUUUUAAAAGAUUCACUGUGGCAGAUGUACCAAAAAGACUGUUAAGAUUGAGAGACAAAGGUGGGAGCAGGGAGAAGAAACGUAUCAAGUACAAGGCACAAGAGAAACAAUAACUCACCCAGCAUUACAGAUGGUAAAAAGUGGCCAGAUUUUGAAUAUAUUUUGAUGAAAGCCAACAGAGUAAUUUCUUGACAGAUCUGAUACAGUGAAAGAGAAAAAGGGACAUCGAGGAUGUGUCAAAGAUUUUUUAGUCUAAGCAAACAGGAUGCCAGAUCUACCAUCAACCGAAAAUGGGAAGGCUGCAAUUGAAGCUGAUUUGGAGGAAAAAUUAUAAAUUCAGUUUGGGAUAUUUUAGACUCAGAGAAUUUUAUCGUUCUAUAGGUAAUGACAACGUAUAUGGACAUAAGAAUUAGAAUUUUCAGAUUUAAUCUAAACACAUGGGUUAUGCAGAUGGCAAGUGAAGACACCACUUAUUUCCUAAUGUUUAACUCUGACCUUUUAAUGGAAUCAGCUUUUUAGCUAUUUUGAGAUGAAGUUAUAACCAUAGAAGAAAUUAAUGCUUAAAAAAAAAAAAUCACACUUUAAAUUCAUCUGGCUGCCUUAAUAUACAUCUGAAUAUCAACGUGGCUCAUGAAAGGAUAGAACUGCAAAUGAACUAUGUUUAUAGCACAGAUUACCAAAAUAUCAAUUUCAAGAACCCCUGGAGCUGGAGACAUAGAGUCUCCUAACACAAUUCUAAAAAUUUUAACUGUGUGAGUUAAAUCUCAUUCAUAAACUAGGAUUAUCAAAAACUUAAGUCAUUAACUAUAUUUAUCAAAAACCUCACCAUUAUACAUAGUUCUAUAAUAUUCUGACAUUCGAAUUUACUAAUUUUCAAAUACUAGUAAAUUUUGAAAUAUUAACAGAUAAUUAAAUAUGGUUUUAAGCAGUGAAAGUUAUAUAAAUGUAUACAGAUUAAACAUCAUGGUAUUAACUUCUAAUGAUACAGGGAUUCAACUAAUCCAACUCAACCACUUUAAAUUAUCUGUACCAGACUAAGGAAAAAAGAUUUUAUGUCACUAAUUUAUACAUAUCCUAGAACACUUUUCAUACUUAUAUAAAUAUUAUGAGCGGCACAAUGAAGAUAAAUUAGGUUUAUUUAAGAAACAAUAUAUAGGAGGGCACAGUCUUUAGGGCAUUAGCCUGCUGUAGCCUCCUUUGCCUGGCAAAGCAAUAAAGCUAAUUUUUUUUUCCUUUGUCCAUUCCCCAUCAAAAGAAAGAAAUAAUAUAUGGAUGAAUUGGUUAAUAGUAUAGAUCACCAAAAUAUCAAUUUCAAGAAACUUUUAUCAUUGAAUAGUUUAGAAAAGGCAGAGAAAGAAAGCCAGAUACAUAGGAGCUCCUUCACUGGACUAAUCAAGCAUUUCAUUGUAAUUACAAUGCAAGACCAAAGAGAAUAAAAUAAGGUGCUCUCAUGGGAAGCAUACAGAUAGGCAGACAAAUAGAAAUACAUAUAUAUUCACUUCCCCUUUUCUUGGUCACAUCCACAGCAUGCUGAAGUUCCUGGGCCAGGGUCAAACUUGGGCCAGAGCUAUAAAAAUGCCAGAUCCUUAACCCACUGAGCCACGAGGGAACUCCCCACAUUCACUUAUAAAUCAAAAACAAAAACAAAGACAAAGACAAGUUAACCCAAAGUCCAACCAACUCUACCCUAGGUAAACUUCAUUUACUAUAUGUAGGAUGGAAAAGAGCUUAAGAAGAAGAAAGUCGUUUUUCCAGAUUUUUUGAGAAAAUUUCAGCCCUUUUACACAGUUUAAAGUAUAAAAAUGUAAAAAGCACAGUCGUUUCCUCAAAUCUAAUGAACACAGACCACUGUCAAACUUCACACAUGCUGUGGCUGAAAGGUACAAAGGUCUUCCCUCACUCUAAAAUCCAUGAUCUUGUGGGAAAGCCCCUCCCCACUUCCGGCACAUGCAGUUCUCCUGGCAUUCUAGUUGCCCUGUGGCAACAGAACAGGAAAUGCAGGUAUGUCAUCAAGACAGUCUCCAGCCAACAGUAAGGGCAGCGCCACAGUUCUUUGACCUCACCCUCCACAAAGCUAAAACAAAAACCAAAAACAAAGCAAAACAAAAGAUACCACAAGUGGGGAGUGAGAUGGCAAAAGAGGCCAAUGCAGUGUUUCACCAUACCUCACAGGAAAGUCUGAUAAAUUUGAUGGCGUACAACCAGAACUGCAAUACCUCCUUUAUCUGAAAUCCAUCACCCAGGACCCAGCCACUAUCAUCUCACUAUACUGUUCCAAUAGCUCCUAACUACUUUUCCCAGUUUCAUUCUAAUCCCC
Molecule: long non-coding RNA, 5167 nt
Filed under: Sus scrofa (pig)
Lineage: Eukaryota; Metazoa; Chordata; Mammalia; Artiodactyla; Suidae
Description: lncRNA (ENSSSCG00005037437.1)
Source: RNAcentral